CAAAGAAAGUUUAGUUCAGAAUCUUA
This 26-nucleotide transfer RNA is filed under the name Ammodytes personatus (Pacific sandeel). RNAcentral describes it as "partial tRNA-Pro". The record is from RNAcentral. Lineage: Eukaryota; Metazoa; Chordata; Actinopteri; Uranoscopiformes; Ammodytidae.